AUUGAACGCUGGCGGCAUGCCUAACACAUGCAAGUCGAACGGCAGCACAGCAGUAGCAAUACUGUGGGUGGCGAGUGGCGGACGGGUGAGGAAUACGUCGGAAUCUGCCCAGUCGUGGGGGAUAACUAGCCGAAAGGUUAGCUAAUACCGCAUACGACCGAGAGGUGAAAGCGGGGGACCGCAAGGCCUCGCGCGAUUGGAUGAGCCGACGUCGGAUUAGCUAGUUGGCGGGGUAAAGGCCCACCAAGGCGACGAUCCGUAGCUGGUCUGAGAGGAUGAUCAGCCACACUGGAACUGAGACACGGUCCAGACUCCUACGGGAGGCAGCAGUGGGGAAUAUUGGACAAUGGGCGCAAGCCUGAUCCAGCAAUGCCGCGUGUGUGAAGAAGGCCUCGGUUGUAAGCACUUUAUCAGGACGAAAAGACGUUGGAUUAAUAACUCUGACGUGCUGACGGUACCGU
RNAcentral lists this ribosomal RNA (461 nucleotides) under uncultured bacterium. Its description in RNAcentral is "bacterial SSU rRNA". It matches the Rfam family "Bacterial small subunit ribosomal RNA", at positions 29 to 481 of the family's 1533-position model. The record is from RNAcentral.